UCUGGGAGGGAGGACAAGGAUCGUGAGAGGCAGCCCUCCCUUUGCCUCUUGUUAACCCAUCCACAUUACUGGGGAAAGCUGAAGACGUAAGACAGGCAGGAGGGGAGCACACCUCUAUCAGUCUGGGCCGAAUCGGAGAGAAGGGCGACGUUUACUAUAAAGUUUCUAACUACAACAGGGGAUUGCAGAUGUAAGAGCCUGUCACUACUACCACAGAGCUGAGAUCUCCCAUCCCAGACUGCGAUCCACACUCACGGAAUAGUAGGGACGUUAUGGUGGUGCCAUGCAGUGGAAGUUUGUGGAAAUGUGUCCUCUGCGGCGUGGAGGGCAGCUAUUCACAGGGAAUUGUCUUGAGCACUAGAGGCUCUCUGCUAUAAAACUGCAAGAGCAUGGAGGAGGGGCAGAGGGAGAGAGAGAGAAACUCUCAAGCAGGCUUCUGGC
This is a long non-coding RNA of Zalophus californianus (California sea lion), 441 nucleotides long. RefSeq lists it as uncharacterized. The transcript has 3 exons. NCBI's taxonomy places the organism in Eukaryota, Metazoa, Chordata, Mammalia, Carnivora, Otariidae. The record is from RefSeq and is a predicted model, not a curated record.